CCCGUCAAUCGGGGUAGUGGUUUUGCUUUUGGAACCCUCAGCCAAAUACAGCAAACUAAAAAGGAACCGUGUGCAAAUCACGGGCAGUCGUGCUACUGUAAAUAUCAGUUCCGGAAUACAGGAACAAGUUUUUACCCAGGUGUCCCAUUGUUGUAAAUGUCCAUUUAAAAGGCAUGUGCGACGAGAAGGGCGGUGAAAAUGAUAUAAGCCAGGAGACUUGCCGCUACUCUCAAUGUCCA
This 239-nucleotide non-coding RNA is filed under the name Dyadobacter sp. Leaf189. Lineage: Bacteria; Pseudomonadati; Bacteroidota; Cytophagia; Cytophagales; Spirosomataceae. RNAcentral also lists the same sequence under 1 other name. The record is from RNAcentral.